CCUACGGGCGGCAGCAGUAGGGAAUAUUGCUCAAUGGUGGAAACCCUGAAGCAGCAACGCCGCGUGGAGGAUGAAGGUUUUCGGAUUGUAAACUCCUUUUGUUAGAGAAGAUAAUGACGGUAUCUAACGAAUAAGCACCGGCUAACUCCGUGCCAGCAGCCGCGGCAAUACGGAGGGUGCAAGCGUUACUCGGAAUCACUGGGCGUAAAGCGCGCGUAGGCGGGAUAGCAAGUCAGAUGUGAAAGCCUAUGGCUUAACCAUAGAACUGCAUUUGAAACUGUUAUUCUAGAGUAUGGGAGAGGUAGGUGGAAUGCUUGGUGUAGGGGUAAAAUCCGUAGAGAUCAAGAGGAAUACUCAUUGCGAAGGCGACCUGCUAGAACAUAACUGACGCUGAGGCGCGAAAGCGUGGGGAGCAAACAGGAUUAGAUACCCUAGUAGUC
RNAcentral lists this ribosomal RNA (440 nucleotides) under uncultured bacterium. Its description in RNAcentral is "partial 16S ribosomal RNA". It matches the Rfam family "Bacterial small subunit ribosomal RNA", at positions 338 to 795 of the family's 1533-position model. The record is from RNAcentral.